UACGUAUGGAGCAAGCGUUAUCCGGAUUUACUGGGCGUAAAGGGAGCGUAGGCGGCCUGCCAAGUCUGAUGUGAAAUACCGGGGCUCAACCCCGGGGCUGCAUUGGAAACUGGCAGGCUGGAGUGCCGGAGAGGCAGGCGGAAUUCCUAGUGUAGCGGUGAAAUGCGUAGAUAUUAGGAGGAACACCAGUGGCGAAGGCGGCCUGCUGGACGGUGACUGACGCCGAGGCUCGAAAGCGUGGGGAGCAAACAGG
RNAcentral lists this ribosomal RNA (253 nucleotides) under uncultured bacterium. RNAcentral describes it as "partial 16S ribosomal RNA". It matches the Rfam family "Bacterial small subunit ribosomal RNA", at positions 524 to 776 of the family's 1533-position model. The record is from RNAcentral.